This 1001-nucleotide long non-coding RNA is filed under the name Equus caballus (horse). RNAcentral's name for it is "lncRNA (ENSECAG00000043859.1)". The record is from RNAcentral. Lineage: Eukaryota; Metazoa; Chordata; Mammalia; Perissodactyla; Equidae.
GCCAGGACCAAGCGGAGGGCAGCCCCGGAGCUGGCCGCCCCCAGCGCGCGCUCACCAGCUCGGCGCUCAGCCGGCCCAGUGCGCCCUCGAAGCACGCCCGGCUCUGCUGCUCGCGCGCCGCCGCCCGCUGGAAGGCGCUCGCCAGCCGCCGCCUGAGGUCUUCCAGCAGCUGGCGGGCGGCGGGGGCCUCCUCCGGCACGCGCACGCUCUGGCCGCCCCCGGGGAAGCCGCGCGCGUGACGCGGGGCUGGGGGCCAGAUCCCGGCCCUGCCUGGGACUCUGCGGGGCCCGCGGGAAGCUCUGUUUCGGCGGCGGCGGGACGCCCUGGGCCCAUCUGAGAGAUGCCGGUGCCAGCCUUCCAGAUGGGAUCCUGAGGUUCAACGAAGUUAAGAGACUUACCUAAGGUCAUGUAGUAGACAUGGCUAAAGUGGGAUUUGAUUCCAGAUUAUAUGGCUCCAAGGAUGCUUGAUGAGCAGUGCCAGGUCUGCACCUGGGAUCCGAACCCAUGAACCCCAGGCCACCGAAGCAGAGCACACUAACUCAACCACUACACCACUGGGCCGGCCCCUGGAUGACCAUUUUAAAUUGUCAGUAAUCACACGGAACCAGUAUAAUCAUCUCGAUCACAUCCUUUAAGUGUGUAAGACUUACUCCAAAGAGAAAGGUAUUGAAGGAAGAGAAUACUGGUAUUCAUCAUGAAUGGAGACAUAGUGCUGCAGCUCAGGUUCUAAGUCCUUGCAGUUCUUCUACAUGGGACACCGCCACAGCAUGGCUUGAUGAGUGGUGUAUGUCCGUGCCCAGGAUCUGAACCAGUGAACCCCAGGAUGUUGAAGCAGAGCACACGAACUUAACCACUAAGCCACUGGGCUGGCCCCUAAAUCUUUCUUUAUCUGGAACUCAACUCUACCCAUCCACCUUGCCUUAGAUUUAGAAUGUAAUUCCUCUUUUUUAUUUGACGUUCACAUUUUUCUUCAAUCCGUGUAAUUUACUUUUAUGACUAGC